This 450-nucleotide ribosomal RNA is filed under the name uncultured bacterium. Its description in RNAcentral is "partial 16S ribosomal RNA". It matches the Rfam family "Bacterial small subunit ribosomal RNA", at positions 354 to 796 of the family's 1533-position model. The record is from RNAcentral.
GUGGGGAAUUUUGGACAAUGGGCGCAAGCCUGAUCCAGCAAUGCCGCGUGCAGGAAGAAGGCCUUCGGGUUGUAAACUGCUUUUGUACGGAACGAAACGGUCCGGGUUAAUAUCCUGGGCUAAUGACGGUACCGUAAGAAUAAGCACCGGCUAACUACGUGCCAGCAGCCGCGGUAAUACGUAGGGUGCAAGCGUUAAUCGGAAUUACUGGGCGUAAAGCGUGCGCAGGCGGUUUUGUAAGACAGGCGUGAAAUCCCCGGGCUCAACCUGGGAAUUGCGCUUGUGACUGCAAGGCUGGAGUGCGGCAGAGGGGGAUGGAAUUCCGCGUGUAGCAGUGAAAUGCGUAGAUAUGCGGAGGAACACCGAUGGCGAAGGCAAUCCCCUGGGCCUGCACUGACGCUCAUGCACGAAAGCGUGGGGAGCAAACAGGAUUAGAUACCCUGGUAGUCC